RNAcentral lists this ribosomal RNA (739 nucleotides) under Dokdonia donghaensis. RNAcentral's name for it is "bacterial SSU rRNA". It matches the Rfam family "Bacterial small subunit ribosomal RNA", at positions 51 to 784 of the family's 1533-position model. The record is from RNAcentral. Lineage: Bacteria; Pseudomonadati; Bacteroidota; Flavobacteriia; Flavobacteriales; Flavobacteriaceae.
ACACAUGCAGUCGAGGGGUAACAGGAGUAGCUUGCUAUUUGCUGACGACCGGCGCACGGGUGCGUAACGCGUAUAGAAUCUACCUUAUACUGGGGGAUAGCCUUUGGAAACGAAGAUUAAUACCCCAUAGUAUUAUUUUUUGGCAUCAUUAAAUAAUUAAAGUUUCGGCGGUAUAAGAUGACUAUGCGUUCUAUUAGUUAGUUGGUAAGGUAACGGCUUACCAAGACUUCGAUAGAUAGGGGUCCUGAGAGGGAGAUCCCCCACACUGGUACUGAGACACGGACCAGACUCCUACGGGAGGCAGCAGUGAGGAAUAUUGGACAAUGGAGGCAACUCUGAUCCAGCCAUGCCGCGUGUAGGAAGACUGCCCUAUGGGUUGUAAACUACUUUUAUAUGGGAAGAAUAAGAUCUACGUGUAGAUUGAUGACGGUACCAUAAGAAUAAGCACCGGCUAACUCCGUGCCAGCAGCCGCGGUAAUACGGAGGGUGCAAGCGUUAUCCGGAAUCAUUGGGUUUAAAGGGUCCGUAGGCGGGCAUAUAAGUCAGUGGUGAAAGUCUGUGGCUUAACCAUAGAAUUGCCAUUGAUACUGUAUGUCUUGAAUUAUUGUGAAGUGGUUAGAAUAUGUAGUGUAGCGGUGAAAUGCUUAGAGAUUACAUAGAAUACCGAUUGCGAAGGCAGAUCACUAACAAUAUAUUGACGCUGAUGGACGAAAGCGUAGGUAGCGAACAGGAUUAGAUA